UACGAAGGGGGCUAGCGUUGCUCGGAAUCACUGGGCGUAAAGCGCACGUAGGCGGAUUGUUAAGUCAGGGGUGAAAUCCUGGAGCUCAACUCCAGAACUGCCCUUGAUACUGGCGACCUUGAGUUCGGGAGAGGUGAGUGGAACUGCGAGUGUAGAGGUGAAAUUCGUAGAUAUUCGCAAGAACACCAGUGGCGAAGGCGGCUCACUGGCCCGAUACUGACGCUGAUGCACGAAAGCGUGGGGAGCAAACAGG
This 253-nucleotide ribosomal RNA is filed under the name uncultured bacterium. RNAcentral describes it as "partial 16S ribosomal RNA". It matches the Rfam family "Bacterial small subunit ribosomal RNA", at positions 524 to 776 of the family's 1533-position model. The record is from RNAcentral.